UGUUGCGUCAGCACUGUUGACGUAUGUUAAAGUUCAUGAAUUAUCAAAACAUGAUAAAUUUAUUAUUCAAUGAAAGCAUUUAUCCAUGACAUGUGCUUGUGACAUAAAAGCAUCUAUCAUUUAACUGAAGCAUUUAUCUGUGACAUAAGGUUAUGACAUAGAAGCAUGUAUCAUUUAACUGAAGCAUUUAUCUGUGACAUAAGGUUAUGACAUAGAAGCAUGUAUCAUUUAACUGAAGCAUUUAUCUGUGACAUAAGGUUAUGACAUAGAAGCAUGUAUCAUUUAACUGAAGCAUUUAUCUGUGACAUAAAGUUAUGACAUAGAAGCAUGUAUCAUUUAACUGAAGCAUUUAUCUGUGACAUAAGGUUAUGACAUAGAAGCAUGUAUCAUUUAACUGAAGCAUUUAUCUGUGACAUAAGGUUAUGACAUAGAAGCAUGUAUCAUUUAACUGAAGCAUUUAUCUGCGACAUAAGGUUAUGACAUAGAAGCAUGUAUCAUUUGACUGAAGCAUUUAUCUGUGACAUAAGGUUAUGACAUAGAAGCAUGUAUCAUUUAACUGAAGCAUUUAUCUGUGACAUAAGGUUAUGACAUAGAAGCAUGUAUAUCAUACUCCAGAGAUGUACGUAUGCAAAUCAAAUAUGCAAAUUAGAUAACCGGAUUGACAGACACUAUUUUCUCAGGAAAUGAAUAUUCCAAAAAUGAUUUGUAGAUUUUGGUUCACAUGGCAAUGGGAAUCAUGUGUCACUACUCAUAUGUAAGAUAUUGACAUAUUUCUGAUGUUAAUUUUGAUGCAUUUAUUUCAUAAAAAGAAAACAGUAAUAUGAAAAUGAUAAACAGAAUUCAUCACUUUGUUUUUUAAUGUAAAAAAAUAUUAACCUUGUCCCGUUAAUUGGCAUUAAAAAGUACUUAGGAUUAAUCCUCUGAUUAACAUGUUCAGCUCCUUAUAGAAUUUAGACAUUGGUUUAGAAAUAUAUUUUGUUUUCACGAGUCAGCAGUAUGGAUCUGUAAAAGUGUUGGUUGAUGGUAAAGUGGUCGUCCUCAAAGGAAUGGCUCAAGUAUUUCAUGAAUUUAACUAGUCUCAGACAUACGCUUGCAUUAUUUUUGAACCCUAGCAAUGCACACACACACACAAAAAAAAAUAUUGAAUAUCUUUGUGUUUUAUCUCGGUGAUAACCAAAUCCCUUUUAGAAACAUUUAUUUAGGAUUAUUUAUCUGAAGUACAUUUAAUCAAAUAAGUCUAGUAUUUUGAAUAACAUAAAAUAUUCAGAAAACAAUCCUUAAACUUAAACAGUGAUUUAGUGCAAGUACUACAUUGAUUACUCAAAAUAUCAGACAGUCUGAGUAAACUGGUCUCAUGGCUUGUUACCUGUCAAAACAUUGGGUCAGGUGUGAAAGGGCCAUUAAGUCCAUUGAGUUAUUAAACAGAUUAAUUGAGAUUUGGGGCCAUUUACACAAGUCUCCUGUCAUUUUAAUUCAUUGUUAGCCAUGAUUUCGAAAUGUAUAGGAUGGGCGCAGAAAAAUACAUAUAUUGUGUACAUAUACUGUCUACAAUAAUAUUCACUGUUCAAACUUCUUGACAAAAAACCCAUAAAGUUCAUGUACUAGUAAUUAAAGUAAUCAUUCAACCUUCCAGUACAGUCUGCCACAUCAUUUCGUGACUUUACAGGACCCUCAUAUGUCACAUAGUGACCCUUGAAAU
This is a long non-coding RNA of Haliotis rubra (blacklip abalone), 1699 nucleotides long. RefSeq lists it as uncharacterized. Lineage: Eukaryota; Metazoa; Mollusca; Gastropoda; Lepetellida; Haliotidae. The transcript has 3 exons. The record is from RefSeq and is a predicted model, not a curated record.